Molecule: ribosomal RNA, 1434 nt
Filed under: 'Vaccinium myrtillus' phytoplasma
Lineage: Bacteria; Bacillati; Mycoplasmatota; Mollicutes; Acholeplasmatales; Acholeplasmataceae
Description: 16S ribosomal RNA
Rfam family: Bacterial small subunit ribosomal RNA
Source: RNAcentral
AGUAACACGUAAGUAACCUGCCUUUAAGACGAGGAUAACAACCGGAAACGGUUGCUAAGACUGGAUAGGAAACAAAAAGGCAUCUUUUUGUUUUUAAAAGACCUUCUUACGAAGGUAUGCUUAAAGAGGGGCUUGCGCCACAUUAGUUAGUUGGUAGAGUAAAAGCCUACCAAGACGAUGAUGUGUAGCUGGACUGAGAGGUUGAACAGCCACAUUGGGACUGAGACACGGCCCAAACUCCUACGGGAGGCAGCAGUAGGGAAUUUUCGGCAAUGGAGGAAACUCUGACCGAGCAACGCCGCGUGAACGAUGAAGUAUUUCGGUAUGUAAAGUUCUUUUAUUGAAGAAGAAAAAGUAGUGGAAAAACUAUAUUGACGUUAUUCAAUGAAUAAGCCCCGGCUAACUAUGUGCCAGCAGCCGCGGUAAGACAUAGGGGGCGAGCGUUAUCCGGAAUUAUUGGGCGUAAAGGGUGCGUAGGCUGUUAGAUAAGUCUAUAAUUUAAUUUCAGUGCUUAACGCUGUCUUGUUAUAGAAACUGUCUUGACUAGAGUGAGAUAGAGGCAAGCGGAAUUCCAUGUGUAGCGGUAAAAUGUGUAAAUAUAUGGAGGAACACCAGAAGCGUAGGCGGCUUGCUGGGUCUUUACUGACGCUGAGGCACGAAAGCGUGGGUAGCAAACAGGAUUAGAUACCCUGGUAGUCCACGCCGUAAACGAUGAGUACUAAGUGUCGGGGUAAAACUCGGUACUGAAGUUAACACAUUAAGUACUCCGCCUGAGUAGUACGUACGCAAGUAUGAAACUUAAAGGAAUUGACGGGACUCCGCACAAGCGGUGGAUCAUGUUGUUUAAUUCGAAGAUACACGAAAAAUCUUACCAGGUCUUGACAUACUCUGCAAAGCUAUAGAAAUAUAGUGGAGGUUAUCAGGGAUACAGGUGGUGCAUGGUUGUCGUCAGUUCGUGUCGUGAGAUGUUAGGUUAAGUCCUAAAACGAGCGCAACCCUUGUCGUUAAUUGCCAGCACGUAAUGGUGGGGACUUUAACGAGACUGCCAAUUAAAAAUUGGAGGAAGGUGAGGAUUACGUCAAAUCAUCAUGCCCCUUAUGAUCUGGGCUACAAACGUGAUACAAUGGCUGUGACAAAGAGUAGCUGAAACGCGAGUUUUUAGCCAAUCUCAAAAAAGCAGUCUCAGUUCGGAUUGAAGUCUGUAACUCGACUUCAUGAAGUUGGAAUCGCUAGUAAUCGCGAAUCAGCAUGUCGCGGUGAAUACGUUCUCGGGGUUUGUACACACCGCCCGUCAAACCACGAAAGUUAGCAAUACCCAAAAGCAGUAGCUUAACUUCGCAAGAAGAGGGAACUGUCUAAGGUAGGGUUGAUGAUUGGGGUUAAGUCGUAACAAGGUAUCCCUACCGGAAGGUGGGGAUGGAUCACCUCCUUUCU